Cyprinus carpio carpio is the source of this 1256-nucleotide long non-coding RNA. NCBI's taxonomy places the organism in Eukaryota, Metazoa, Chordata, Actinopteri, Cypriniformes, Cyprinidae. The record is from Ensembl.
UUCCUCUGUUUGCACACACACUGCCUGCGUGUGUGUGUGUGUGUGUGUGUGCACGCUUGCUGGAGGUGAAAUUAAAAGGUCGUAUAAUCGCAUUUUCCCGAGGUGAAUGUCAGCAGGAGAAAACAACAUGUCCUUUUUGUGGGCAGCAUUUUUGUUUUUCUCUGUUUGGUUUCACAGUUGUUUAUUCCUCUUACAUCCUUUCACUGUGAAAACAAAUACUGUAUCUUAUUGGUUUCUAGUAAAUAUACUUAAAACAAUAUUAAACUACCCGAGUAGCAAGAUGUUAGGACAUGUUUUCAGAUGAAUCUGAAUAAAUCUUGAACACAUGAGUUGUUGCUAUGUUUAUAAUGUGUUGCUUUGUCCUUUUGUGAGGUUUUCUGAUUCAUUUUACAAUGCUAUGAGGUUGUUAGUUUGAUGCGGGGUGAUUGCUAGGGUGUUGCUAUGUGGUUGACAGAGUGUUCUGAAUGCUUUUAGUAUGUUGCUAUGUGGGUGCUAUGUGCUAGGGCAUUGCUCUGUGUUUGAAAAGGUGUUUUGAAUAGUUUUAGUGUGUUGCUUUGUCCUUUACAAGGUUUUCUGAUUUGUUUUUACCAUGCUAUGAAGUUGCCAGAGUGUUUAGGGGUGGUUGCUGUUGCUAUGUGUUAAUUGUGUAGGGUGGUAGCUAUGUGGUUGCUAAGGUGUUUGGAAUGUUUUAGUGUGUUCUUAGGGUGUUGCUAUGCAUUUAGUGUUUAGGGUGGUUACUAAGGUGUUUGGAAUGUUUUAGUGUGUUGUUAGGGUGUUGCUAUGCAUUUACUGUUUAGGGUGUUUGUUAUGUGGUUACUAAGGUGUUUGGAAUGUUUUGGUGUUUUGUUAGGGUGUUGCUAUACAUUUAGUGUUUAGGGUGGUUACUAAGGUGUCUGGAAUGUUUUAAUGUGUUGUUAGGGUGUUUCUAUGCUUUUAGUGUUUAGGGUGUUUGCUAUGUGGUUGCUAAGGUGAUUGGAAUGUUUUUAGUGUGUUACUAGGGUGUUGCUAUGUCCUUAGUGAUGUUUUAUGAUCUUUUGUUUUUUGCAGUUCCAUUUAGUUGCUUGGGAUGGUUGCUAGGGUAUUGCUAAGUGGUUGCUAGGGUGUUCUGGCAGAUUGCUAGGUACUUGUUUUCUCAAACACUGCAGAAUGAAUUGUGAUUUUGAUUCUUGUAAUAAUAAACUUUCUUUCCCUCUUCACAAGAGCAGAUAUUUUUCUCAACGGUUUGCGUUUGCAUAGUUGUGUUAGGAUGAGAGCGC